UCCCUGGUGGUCCAGCGGUUAAGACACUGCACUCCUGAUGCAAGGGACCCGGGUUUGAUCCCUGCUCAGGGAA
Molecule: non-coding RNA, 73 nt
Organism: Bos taurus (domestic cattle)
Lineage: Eukaryota; Metazoa; Chordata; Mammalia; Artiodactyla; Bovidae
Source: Rfam